GCAGAGGGCAUGGUAGAAUUGGUUCGCCUAGCAGUAUCAGAUCCUAUACACUGGCGGCUUCGUUGGUACGCAUGUUGUAGCCCAUAGAUUGAUAAAAAUUCUAUCUUUAAAUUAAUUUUAUAUUGAAUUAAUUAUAUAUAUAUUUAAUUUAAUUUUAUUAUUUAUUUAUUAUAGAUAUGGCAGCUAGGUCAUGCACCAGGACAGC
This 205-nucleotide long non-coding RNA is filed under the name Elaeis guineensis (African oil palm). Its description in RNAcentral is "long non-coding RNA (EGUI_LNC068014)". Lineage: Eukaryota; Viridiplantae; Streptophyta; Magnoliopsida; Arecales; Arecaceae. The record is from RNAcentral.